RNAcentral lists this ribosomal RNA (346 nucleotides) under uncultured fungus. RNAcentral describes it as "SSU rRNA". It matches the Rfam family "Eukaryotic small subunit ribosomal RNA", at positions 20 to 370 of the family's 1831-position model. Lineage: Eukaryota; Fungi. The record is from RNAcentral.
GUAGUCAUAUGCUUGUCUCAAAGAUUAAGCCAUGCAUGUCUAAGUAUAAGCAAUUAUACCGCGAAACUGCGAAUGGCUCAUUAUAUAAGUUAUCGUUUAUUUGAUAAUACUUUACUACUUGGAUAACCGUGGUAAUUCUAGAGCUAAUACAUGCUGAAAAUCCCGACUUCGGAAGGGAUGUAUUUAUUAGAUUAAAAACCAAUGCCCCUCGGGGCUCUCUGGUGAAUCAUAAUAACUAGUCGAAUCGACAGGCCUUGUGCCGGCGAUGGCUCAUUCAAAUUUCUUCCCUAUCAACUUUCGAUGUUUGGGUAUUGGCCAAACAUGGUGGCAACGGGUAACGGGGAAU